CAGCUAGGAAUCUUGGGAAUGGGCGAAAGCCUGACCCAGCAACGCCGCGUGGGCGAUGAAGGCCUUCGGGUUGUAAAGCCCUUUUGCAGGGGAAGAUGAUGACGGUACCCUGCGAAUAAGCCACGGCUAACUACGUGCCAGCAGCCGCGGUAAUACGUAGGUGGCGAGCGUUGUCCGGAUUUACUGGGCGUAAAGGGCGUGCAGGCGGCCUGUUAAGUCUAGGGUGAAAGCUCCCGGCUCAACUGGGAGAGGUCCUUGGAUACUGGCGGGCUUGAGGGAGGUAGAGGAGAAUGGAAUUCCCGGUGUAGUGGUGAUAUGCGUAGAUAUCGGGAGGAACACCUGUGGCGAAGGCGGUUCUCUGGGCCUUACCUGACGCUGAGACGCGAAAGCGUGGGGAGCGAACCGGAUUAGAUACCCGGGUAGUCCACGCCGUAAACUAUGGACACUAGGUGUGGGGGGUAUCGACCCCUUCCGUGCCGAAGCUAACGCAAUAAGUGUCCCGCCUGGGGAGUACGGCCGCAAGGCUA
RNAcentral lists this ribosomal RNA (527 nucleotides) under uncultured bacterium. RNAcentral's name for it is "bacterial SSU rRNA". It matches the Rfam family "Bacterial small subunit ribosomal RNA", at positions 352 to 896 of the family's 1533-position model. The record is from RNAcentral.